CGAAUGGGGCAAGCGUUGUUCGGAAUCACUGGGCUUAAAGCGUACGCAGGCGGCCAUGCAAGUCAGAAGUGAAAUCCCUGGGCUUAACCCAGGAAUUGCUUUUGAAACUGCACGGCUAGAAUCCGGGAGAGGUUGGCGGAAUUCCGAGUGUAGCAGUGAAAUGCGCAGAUAUUCGGAGGAACACCAGUGGCGAAGGCGGCCAACUGGACCGGCAUUGACGCUCAUGUACGAAAGCGUGGGUAGCAAACAGGAUUAGAUACCCUGGUAGUCCACGCUGUAAACGAUGUGUGCUAGUUGUUGGAACCGUCAGGUUUCGGCGACGCAGGGAAACCUUUAAGCACACCGCCUGGGGAGUACGGUCGCAAGAUUA
RNAcentral lists this ribosomal RNA (370 nucleotides) under uncultured organism. RNAcentral's name for it is "bacterial SSU rRNA". It matches the Rfam family "Bacterial small subunit ribosomal RNA", at positions 526 to 896 of the family's 1533-position model. The record is from RNAcentral.